UACAGAGGGUGCAAGCGUUGUUCGGAAUUACUGGGCGUAAAGCGCGUGUAGGCGGUCUUGCAAGUCGGUCGUGAAAUCCCUUGGCUUAACCAAGGAACUGCGUUCGAAACUGCUCGACUAGAGUAUCGGAGGGGAUGGUAGAAUUCCUGGUGUAGAGGUGAAAUUCGUAGAUAUCAGGAGGAAUACCUGUGGCGAAGGCGACCAUCUGGAAGAUUACUGACGCUGAGACGCGAAAGCGUGGGGAGCAAACAGG
Molecule: ribosomal RNA, 253 nt
Filed under: uncultured bacterium
Lineage: Bacteria
Description: partial 16S ribosomal RNA
Rfam family: Bacterial small subunit ribosomal RNA
Source: RNAcentral